AAACACUUCGACAAGCGAGCCCCCUUUUCUCUCCUCGCACCAAUCCUCCUGUCCCCGAGCCCCUCGCAAGCGCUAGGGUUCCCCCACCCCCAUCUUCUGCAACCACCACGCCGCCGCCGCCCCCAUCUUCUGCGACCACCACGCCGUCGACGCCGUCCUGAAGCACGCUACUCCUCCCCCUUGCCAAGCCGCCCUGGAUCUUGCGGUGGAGCUGGCCGCCUCGUGGCCAUGGAGGGCUCGCCAGCCGCCUCCGGAGUCCCACAUCCCCAAGAUCGACUGGAUUGCAGCCGCCUGGUCGAGGUCGUCAGCCUUGACGGGCUCCUCCAUCACGUCUGGUCCCAUGGCUCCUCCGGUACUACCUCGCCUGUGCUUGCUCCCGUCCACGCCGACGUCUUGCUCGGGCCGCGGCAUGACCUGCUCGCCACGCCCGCCCAAACCCCAAGCCACACUUCCUCUUCCACCUCUGCGUACUCCUGGUUGCAGCGCCAGCUCGCCACGGGCAAGGAUCGGCAGCUCGCCGGCGUGGCGCGUGGCAGGGGAGAGAAGGGGGGCAAGAUCGGCGGGGCAGAGUUCUUCCGGAAGGACGGCGUGGUGGGCGACAUGGACGGGUACCUCAACUACCUGUCCCUCGAGUAUGACUUCGUCUCGGACACCAAUCCUUCUUGGGUAUCUUCAAGGUCCAUGCUCCAAAUAUAAAUAAGAUUUGGUCCGACGGGCCCUUCAUUGGCGUACUCCUGGGACACCUCCAUGUAGCACCAAGGGGAAUAUUUGUUCAGAAUAUUUGUUCAGAAUCUUCAGUCUUGUAAUUUUCUCCUUGAUGACAAUGACCAUGCCGUGCUGGGGAUUUGGGAUUCCAUCCUUGCUGUUUGGACUUCCGCUGCUAAUUCCAGAUCUUAUCCAAAGACUUGGGACUCCAAAUUACAUGCCCCAGAACAUUGGCGACCAAACAUCAGAGGCCCAAUUAGUUACGAGACUGACUCGUUGGGGUUUCGCUUGUAGCAUUCUUGAGAUGUUCAGUGGCGUUCAGACUUGGUGUGCCAAAUCACCAGAUGAGAUUUAUCAGUCAGUUGUCCUGAAGAAAGAGAAACCGAUGUUCCUGUAUAAUUUACCUACGGAGGUCGCUAAUGUCCUCUCUGGCUGCUAUGAGUAUGACUUUCAGGAUCACUCCUUGAUGUUAGAUAUCUUACAGUCAUUUGAAAGAUGGAUUGAGGAGGUCAGAGAUGUAUAACAGCCGUAUUGAUCCAAUUGACAAGUUGGAGGUGACACAUGAACGUUGGCAAUGCAAAAUAGCAUAUAUAAAAUAACUGCAGCUCAGGCCAUGUAGUUCUACAACAACCAAGGAAGAAGUCCGUUUUUUAAGCCGACCUCGGCCAAGCAUUUAAGCUUAUAUGGGUGCUCUCUAUUUUUCAGAGGUGCGUGUACUGAGAACGCCCAUGAUUUAGGGCCAAAAAUCUAGAGAAAGUGACAAAACUUUGUACGAGACUUACUUGAAGCCAGUGAUAGCCCGUUGAAGGAUGCCGAUUGUGGCUAUCCAACUACAGCAACGUGCUUGCAACUCAUGAGUAGCAAAAUCCUAUAAAAGCAUGGAUAAUUGUGAUGAUGCCAUAGUUUCCUGAUUACUAUGAUAAUUUACCAGAUGAGGAGGUGGGAGAGGCGCCGCCCAAGGAUGUCAGGGGAGGAGGGCAACAAGGCUGGGGAGCGGAGGCUGACGGGGAAGAGAAUGAUCAAGCAUGUAAAUUGAGAGCACAAGCUCAUGAUUUAUCAAGGGAGUGGCGCUGCCGCCGGAUUAGAAAAUCAUAUCUCACAUUAAGGUGUUUUUGUCUUCUGUUUUUGUACAAAUUUGGUGCAGGCAAAAUUUUGAUGAUAUAUAUAAGAUGACUAGCAUUAUCUUUUUA
This is a long non-coding RNA of Triticum dicoccoides, 1895 nucleotides long. RefSeq lists it as uncharacterized. The transcript is spliced from 6 exons. The record is from RefSeq and is a predicted model, not a curated record. Lineage: Eukaryota; Viridiplantae; Streptophyta; Magnoliopsida; Poales; Poaceae.